GCCUUUAAAGAUACAACAUUAUAAUGUUACAGCACAGCCUAACAUCCUUUAAAUGUUAUUCUAUUAUGCGUACUUUGCCUAAAAAAAAAAAACAAACCCAAUUCAAUGCACAAACACCACAUUAAUACUGUCCUAUUCCAUUUACUAAGUGCUAAAUAUACCAUUCCACCUGUUAUACACCAUAGUAUAUUGACCUAAAUCAAACUACCCAC
RNAcentral lists this long non-coding RNA (212 nucleotides) under Gossypium raimondii (Peruvian cotton). RNAcentral describes it as "long non-coding RNA (GRAI_LNC010126)". Lineage: Eukaryota; Viridiplantae; Streptophyta; Magnoliopsida; Malvales; Malvaceae. The record is from RNAcentral.